Molecule: ribosomal RNA, 732 nt
Filed under: Triticum aestivum (bread wheat)
Lineage: Eukaryota; Viridiplantae; Streptophyta; Magnoliopsida; Poales; Poaceae
Description: partial small subunit ribosomal RNA
Source: RNAcentral
AUGGGGCAGGAUGUACUGCUUCCCUCUCACCGAAACCAAGCUCUUCUUCGGCGACAGCUCCACGCGCAUCUUCCGCUUCGACGCCGAGACCCACUGCAUCGACACCAUGCCCAGCCUCCACACGCCCAAGCGCCCCCCCUUGGCCCUCUCCAUCCCUCAGUAUCCGGCCAUCUCGAAGGAAGGCCAAGGUGGAGCCCUCUACAAUACAUCAUGGAUAGCAUCCUCAGGCCGCACAGCGAGGGCCAGGUCCAGUUCGAGGCUAUCGUGUACCGCAGGCGCUACCACCCCACCUCCAGCAAGGCGUGGCACUGCGACGCCCUCCCGCCGCCGCCUUUCGUCCAUGACCUGCAGGUUGGUAACAAACCGGCCUCCGUCUGCUCGUACGCCUUGGUUGGCGGACACACCAUCUGCAUCUCUGUCACGGGAGUCGGCAUCUAUUGCUUCGACACGGUGACUCGCGAGUGGAGCAAGGCCGGCGACUGGCUCAUGCCGUUCCACGGCAGGGCGGGGCACGACCCGGAGCUCGGCCUCUGGUUUGGUGCCUCUCACAGCAACUCCCACCUCCCCUGCGCCGCAGACAUCUCCGGCGUCCUGAGAGGGGAGGGGCCGCUGCCGGAGCACACACGAAUCUGGGCGGACACUGACGUGCCAGAGGGAUGGUACCCACCCCGUUACGGUGGCUGCCCCACCAAACUCGUCAACCUGGGUUCCGUGCGGCCACUGGUUGGUUAA